Molecule: long non-coding RNA, 850 nt
Organism: Ornithodoros turicata
Lineage: Eukaryota; Metazoa; Arthropoda; Arachnida; Ixodida; Argasidae
Exons: 2
Source: RefSeq, a predicted model, not a curated record
UUGCCGCUUACCGACAUAUUUUCGCCGUCAUAACACCAAGAGAUGACCGUAUUUUGCCAGCGUAAACUAUGCGGUGCGUCUUCCGCAACAUGGUAGCCCAUUUCACCUUAGUUUAAGUACAUCGCAUCGGCUCGGUAAGUCUUAACGCGCGGUCGUCAUCACAUCUUUGGAAGUUGUCAACAAUACGAGGCUUUAUGUGUAAAACUGCGCGUUUUAUUGCGAGAUUAUCGGAUAAAAAUAAUUACCGUGAUCGAAAAACAUCCAAAACGUCGUCCAGAAACAACAACCGCAUUGUUUACAAACGGUUUGGCCGCCGAUCACGGGCGCCGCCAUCUUUAAGGUCACGUGUGCCUUGACGUUUGCUGUGACGUGCGACCAGGACCUGUCCAGGAUGCAUUGCGUUCGCCCAGCACGCUUUCGUCUACGGAGCAAUACAUUGGAUGCCACCCCUGUGUCCGGAACGGCAACAGUGGGGUAUCUAGUGGCGGCCUUCUUCGUUGCACGCUUUUCCGAGCUAGGUGCGAAAGCCGAGGUCCCUCUCCUAAAGCGGAAGCUGGAUGUGGUGGCAGUACAGUGCAGCCCCGGCGAGCAGACGACAAACAGCCAAAUUUAUGUCCACUUCACCGCGGAAACUUGAGUGCCUUGACACGAAACUUCAAUUGAAUGGUGUUCAGAGUCAACAUUUGCACUGCUGGACACCAUUCUGAAAAGGAAAAUUUUCUUCACCGACGUUAUACCGACCGUUUUCAUGCUAGUCCCAUAGGGCUCAAUGUAUUUGUUUCCAAGGAAGCAAAAAAAUGUAUAAAUUCAACCGUGUGCAGAAGAUGAAUUAAAAAGGUGUCAAUACCUA